Molecule: long non-coding RNA, 233 nt
Filed under: Nicotiana benthamiana
Lineage: Eukaryota; Viridiplantae; Streptophyta; Magnoliopsida; Solanales; Solanaceae
Description: long non-coding RNA (NBEN_LNC034141)
Source: RNAcentral
UAAACUGAAGUGUCGGAGCAACUUAGCUGAUAAUUAGUGACGCACAACGAUAAUUAUCUCACCAAAGCUCUGAUACCAUGUGAGAAAGCACGGGAGAAAAAUAUAAUUGAUAUUAAACAUGAUACAAUGAGCCCUAUAUAUAUACACAUAACCUAUCCUGCUCCUAAUAAACAUUGGAUUAGGCUACUCCUAAUACACAUUGGAUUAGGGUUCUACUAUUACAUAUUCUAACA